Molecule: long non-coding RNA, 779 nt
Filed under: Nicotiana benthamiana
Lineage: Eukaryota; Viridiplantae; Streptophyta; Magnoliopsida; Solanales; Solanaceae
Description: long non-coding RNA (NBEN_LNC024921)
Source: RNAcentral
UUAAUGUCCAGCUGAUACAGGGGCCAAUGGCGAACAGCAGCCAUAGAGAGAAAAAGGCGGACUGAUGCUAUCUUAGCCACGGGAGAGAAGGUAUCACCGUACAACAACUACCCAGUAUACUCCCACCAGGUGGGGUCUGGGGAAGGUAUCACCGUAAUCAAGCCCAAAUAUCUGAGUAUAUCCCUUGGCCACAAGAUGAGCCUUAAGACGAUCAACCUUACCAUCAGGACCAACCUUGACUGCAUACACCCAACGACAACCAACAGUAGAUUUAUCCGAAGGAGGAGGGACGAGCUCCCAAGUACCACUCGCAUGUAAAGCAGACAUCUCGUCAGUCAUAGCCUGUCGCCACCCUGGAUGAGACAAUGCUUCACAUGUAGACUUAAGGAUGGAAACAGAGGACAAAGAAGAGAGAAAAGCAUAAUAGGGUGAUGGCAAACGAUGAUAAGUUAAACCGAUAUAAUGGGGAUUAGGAUUAAGGGUGUUCCAUAUACCUUUCCGAAGUGCAAUCGGAAGAGACAAGUCCGCAGUAGGAGCAGGGUCAGGCGCAGGACGUGAAUCAACCGAGCCGGAUGCUGGGCGAGGACGACGAUGAUAUGUCAAGAGUGGAGUGUCUGUUGCAGGGAGUCUAGGAGGAGCUACACUAGACUCUCCAACGGUUGGAAUGGGUAAGACUUCUAUAGCGGAAGGUGAAGGAGGAGAUAUAGUAGACUCCCUAAAGGCCGAUAUAGGUAAAACCUCAGAUAUAUCAAGAUGGUCAGGAUGGUCAGAGGAGGUAA